RNAcentral lists this ribosomal RNA (772 nucleotides) under uncultured bacterium. RNAcentral describes it as "bacterial SSU rRNA". It matches the Rfam family "Bacterial small subunit ribosomal RNA", at positions 69 to 854 of the family's 1533-position model. The record is from RNAcentral.
GUCCAUGGAGCUUGCUCCGGAAGACCUAGUGGCGAACGGGUGCGUAACACGUGAGAAACCUGCCCCGAUCUCUGGGAUAACAGUUGGAAACGACUGCUAAUACCGGAUGCCGUCACACCGCUUCAUGGCGGAGUGCCGAAAGAUUUAUCGGAUCGGGAGGGUCUCGCGGCCUAUCAGCUAGUUGGAGAGGUAACGGCUCACCAAGGCAUCGACGGGUAGCUGGUCUGAGAGGAUGAUCAGCCACACUGGGACUGAGACACGGCCCAGACUCCUACGGGAGGCAGCAGUGGGGAAUCUUGCACAAUGGGCGAAAGCCUGAUGCAGCAACGCCGCGUGCGGGAAGAAGGCCCUAGGGUUGUAAACCGCUUUCAGUAGGGAAGAAAAUGACGGUACCUACAGAAGAAGGUGCGGCCAACUACGUGCCAGCAGCCGCGGUGACACGUAGGCACCAAGCGUUAUCCGGAUUUAUUGGGCGUAAAGAGCUCGUAGGCGGUUUGGUAAGUCGGGUGUGAAAACUCUGGGCUCAACCCAGAGACGCCACCCGAUACUGCUAUGACUAGAGUACGGUAGGGGAGCGGGGAAUUCAUGGUGUAGCGGUGAAAUGCGCAGAUAUCAUGAGGAACACCAGCGGCGAAGGCGCCGCUCUGGGCCGUAACUGACGCUGAGGAGCGAAAGCAUGGGUAGCAAACAGGAUUAGAUACCCUGGUAGUCCAUGCCGUAAACGUUGGGCACUAGGUGUGGGUCUCAACCAACGAGAUCCGCGCCGUCGCUA